This 580-nucleotide small RNA is filed under the name Pongo abelii (Sumatran orangutan). RNAcentral describes it as "retained intron". Lineage: Eukaryota; Metazoa; Chordata; Mammalia; Primates; Hominidae. The record is from RNAcentral.
AAAAAUCUGGAAAUGGUUGAUAUUUCCAAGCUGCUGAUGUCCCUCUCUGUCCCUUUCUGUACGCAGUGGUACGUAAAUGGGGUGAAUUAUUUUACUGACCUGUGGAAUGUGAUGGACACGCUGGGGCUUUUUUACUUCAUAGCAGGAAUUGUAUUUCGGCUCCACUCUUCUAAUAAAAGCUCUUUGUAUUCUGGACGAGUCAUUUUCUGUCUAGACUACAUUAUUUUCACUCUAAGAUUGAUCCACAUUUUUACUGUAAGCAGAAACUUAGGACCCAAGAUUAUAAUGCUGCAGAGGAUGCUGAUCGACGUGUUCUUCUUCCUGUUCCUCUUUGCGGUGUGGAUGGUGGCCUUCGGCGUGGCCAGGCAAGGGAUCCUUAGGCAGAAUGAGCAGCGCUGGAGGUGGAUAUUCCGUUCAGUCAUCUACGAGCCCUACUUGGCCAUGUUCGGCCAGGUGCCCAGUGACGUGGACGGUACCACGUAUGACUUUGCCCACUGCACCUUCACUGGGAAUGAGUCCAAGCCACUGUGCGUGGAGCUGGAUGAGCACAACCUGCCCCGGUUCCCCGAGUGGAUCACCA